AUUAAAUAUUUUUAGUGAAAGAUACAACAGCAAUUCGUAAGCUAUAAUAUCAAAAAAACAAAAACAUAUCAUCAUCAACACCAUCAUCACAAUAAUAAUAGUCAUCAUGAACAACAACUCGAUCUGACUCUCCCAUAAUAAUCAUUUCUCACGCUUCCUUUCCCUUUCUGUUGUCUUCUCAUUAUUUCUUCUUGCUGAUUAACAUGAUAAUAUUAUGCAGUGUUUUCUUUAUGCUUACAAAACCGAUUCAAGGUGAUCUCCUAUUUCUCCAACAUUUAUCUCAAGAUUCUCGAAAGCAUCAUCAUUAUCAUAAGCAUCAUCAGCUAAAUAAGUAAAAGCCAAGAGAAACCCAUUCCAACGUUUUUACCACUUUGCAUCAUACAUUUUAUUUUCGUCCAUUGGGCAGUCAUUUUUCUCCAUUUUUAAUUUCACUCGGGCCUUUUCAUGUCCAGUUCACCAAGUCUGGCUAAGUCCAGUCGAGUUAGGAUUUUCCCAAAAUUUUAAUUACUUCAACAUUGUUCAACAGAAUUUCAAGCGAUUAAUCAUCCAUUUGUGGUCAGUGCAAAGCUAAAAGAAAUACAUUGAAAAAGAAAUUACUUUUGCUUAUUCGAAAUUGAUUAUUUCUUUAAUUAACUUGGAGGUGUAAUUGGUGAAGUAAUGAUAUUGAUUCAGCAGUAUUCUUGCAUUAAUUAAUCAUCAUCAACUCUCAAUUGGAAACUGAUUCACUCUGACAUCAACUUGAUGACAUGUUUAGUUAAGUAAUUUGUCUUUGCUUAACUACAUUUUGCUGUUAUUAUCUGUUAUUGUGUGUGAGUGUGUUUGUUUACCUGUUUGUGUGGUUGUUAUUUCUUCCUUCAGUCACCACUGGAAUGGAUUACAUUUUUUAAAUCAACAUGAAAGUUAAACAAGAUGAGCCUGAUGACGUUAUAACUGUAAUCUAUUUUAAUGACCAAGAAAACAAAACAUUGACAAAGAUUAAGCAUAAUGACUGACAAUGGGCAACAUCCUACCUGAGCUUUAAAACGACUACCAACGGUUUUCCCAAGGAUUUCACCUCUAUGUGAAUCAUCGUUGGAUAAUGAAUUAUGUUGGAAUUGGUACUUUCUGGAUCUUGUAAUAACAAGGGUCAUCAAUGAUAAACUCGCUUAAAAUCAAGAAAGUUUUAAUUGUUGAUGGUGAUGAUGAUGGGUAUUGAGCAUAAUAUCCGGAAUCAUCUUCAUAAUUGUUGGAAAUCAUCGUAUUAUUCAGUGUUUAAUCAAAAAUCACGUUUUCAAUUUGAUAAGAUGAUGAAGAAGAGUUGAAUUUUGAUGACCUGUUGAUUGCUGAUAUUCAGUCUGGAUAAAUGAAAGUGGAUUCCAACAGAUUAUCCUGAAGACCAAAAAAAUAAUUGUCAUUCUGACAAUCAGUAUAAAUCUAGUCUCGAUAAAAAUGGUUCAACCAUAUGACGAGCAUCAAAAUUCAGCAAAUUUAACAUGAUCUAUGAUGAGGGAUAAAACUGAUAACUUGAGUUACCAUGGCAAUCGGACCAACUUUGAAUGUCGAUAUGAAAUAUUUAACAUCACGAAAUGAGGAAGUACGCUGUUUACAGUUGUGUUUAUGUUGAAAGAAAAUUUUAUUUUAAUAAACACCUUUCUGGUUGAUUAAAUCCAUAUUCAAACAAUUUAAUCAUCAAUUGUUUCCAGAUGAUGGCAAAGUGAUUCAAAGUUUUGAUGCUUAAAUAGUCAUAAAAUGGAGACUUUCAUUGAUCAUCAUUUGUUCCCAAGCAAUUGUUACUGGCUCAUCAAAUCCAAUUCAUCAAUCAAACGUUGAUUAUGAUACAUAUUGAUGGAAAUGGAAGCAAUUUUUAAAGUGAAACAACUUUAUAAAGAAACAAAUGUUGCUUGUCUAAUUGAACAACAUCGGCUCACCAAUCGAAGGAGUAAAGAAAAUGAUUCAACCUGGAAAAUACGUUCUGAUCGUAAACUGAUGAACGAACUGGCAAACAAAAGAUGAACAUUUAAUAUAAUUAACAAUUUGACCAUAAAAUAACCAUUCUGUCGGUUCCUUGAUGGUAAUUUGCCCAAAACAAAUUCAACUGAAAAGUAAUAAGCUUUAACCAUACUUAUGGAUGAUUAUGAUGUUGAUGAUAAUUAUAAAAACUGGAAUCAAGUUCCGUGAUGCUUUGAAUUUCAUGAAGAAAAAUGAACAAAACGAAAAACAAAAAGUCAAGGAAAAGUAAAGACAACAGCAAAGGAUUGAAAGCAACUUGGAUUAAUCAUCUAAUUGUAGCAAUGGAUCAAACAAGAAAGCUCAAGUAAAGAUAGUUAAUGCAAUGGACAAAAAAAUCAAAAGUGAAAUGAAGGUGACUAACUAAAAGUCACUAAAAAGCGAUGAAAUUCCCAAGCAGAUUAUUCCUAUCGAUUUGAUACAGUCAUUGGAUAUCAAGACCGUAAAUAACAGAUGACAAUAAAGAAGAAAAAAAUGGAAAUUGAAAUACUGAAUUGAAGAUACAUGACCGUCCCGUUGAAUCUUUAGCUGAUCAAGAAUUUGAAAGGAGGUCAAACUUAGCAAGAUUUCGAUGGCCAAUUGGAGAAAUCAAAGGAAAGAUCGAAAGGAAAGGAGUAAAGUAAAGAUACAGGGAUGAUAUUAUAAUAUUAAUAUAAUAAUAAGAGUGGAUGAUUUAGAUAACAAUCAUAAUAAUUAAUAGAAAGGUAAUUAAUGAAUAGAGGUAAUGAGGCAAAAUUGAGUGAAAAUGAAUUUCAUCCUUUUUCUUUUUUGUAAAAGUGAGAUGAGAAAGAAUAAUAAGAUCAAAAAUUAACAUCUUUUCCUUGAAACAGUUUCACGUGCAAUAUUUACCUGGUUAGAUGGAUUUGGGUAGGACCAGGUAAACUUGAAGAUUAUUAUUGUGUUUUUGUGAGUGUUUUUUGUCUAAUAUUUAAAGCUGAAACAACAUUAAUUCACACCAACUUGCUGGUCUUACAAAAAACAGACAAGCAAGGUUCAAGCUGUUCACAUUGAUGGUUAGUGUUACACAUACUGUACUUGAAUAAUGUUAAAGUCAACGAUAUAAUCAACACGGUACAUCAUGUUUCAUCGUCUACUUCAUGUUGUUAUAAUCAAGUAAACAAACAAGCAAUCAAAGGAGAAGCAAAGAAAAGGAUUCAUCAAUAUACUUAAUCAACAAUUCAGGGUUGAUCAUCAAAUCAAAUAAACUAAAUAUUAUACAUACUAGUGUAAAACAUAAUGAAGCUCUGUACUUCAAAUUAUGCAGUCUUGUUACAAGUUGAACAAUUAAAAUUAACGUAUAAUAUGCAUCAUUUUGCUGAUCACCAUUCAGACAAUUAUAAACAAUCAACAAACAAAAAAUUAGUACAUAAAAAUAAACACAACAAAAUGGGUCAAUGUUUA
Non-coding RNA from Tetranychus urticae (two-spotted spider mite), 3387 nucleotides. The record is from RefSeq and is a predicted model, not a curated record. Lineage: Eukaryota; Metazoa; Arthropoda; Arachnida; Trombidiformes; Tetranychidae.